AUGGGACAAUGCAACGGCAGGCGUGGGGCAGUCCCUGUCGCUGUCGUCGACAGAACCAACGGCAGGGCGGCGAUCUGUCGGCAGGUCUGUCCAUGCUCUUUCGGCGGACCAACGCGGCACAGGGGGUGCGCGACGACGCGUGCGACGGCGCCGUGCGGGUCGCUCGGUAUCAUCGUCAUCAUCGUCGCUCUUGCCGCCGUCAUCUCUUGUGCUGUCGUCGGUUCUGGACGAGGUUGCGACGUCACGAGAGCGGGGGCGCUUGCGCGACGGUGCACUCGGUUGCGGCACAGUGGUCUCGGUCGCGCUGUCGCCAACGUGAUCAUCAUCGUCAUGAUCGUCGACGCCAUCGUCAUCGGACCCAUGGCUGAUAAUGGUCGGCGCGACGUGAGCGUCCGAGACCGAGUCUUGGUCGACGUCCGCGUCAACGCAGGGAGUCGAUGGUUCCUCCGAGAGCGGGUCCUCUUCACCCAGGCGGUAGGCGACUGGCGAUCCGGGUCCCGACGGCGCGGAAUCACAGAGGUGCCCCUUGUAUCGCACGGCCAACAGAGCCGCCGCCUCGUCGUCGGCGGGAUGCACGAUAUUCGCGACGACGUCGAUGAAUCUAGAGAGACGCGUGGUGUGGAUGCCCGACGUCCUGGUCUGUCGGCCGUGAUCGGAACCGGCCCUAGGUCGACCGGGAAGCAAUACACGGUCGAGUUGGCCCAUGCGUCGGCAGGCGGUGGCCAUCACGCGGCGCGUAACGGUGUGCUCGUCCCUGUCGCGUAGGUGGCUGGCCAUGGCGCGCACAAUGUCAAUGGCCGACAGCCAGUACCCGUCGGGCGACCGCCGUAUCAUACGGAUCGGCUCUCGGGGCAGGCUUGAAUCGGUGCCGCCGCGAUUCAACUCUGCGCUAUGCACAAUGCAAGUGGGCGACUGGUCAGUGUCGUUGGCCCUGUAGACGGUUGUCGACAUGGGUCGCGUGGUCCGCUCACGACGGCGCGAACGAAGGGGUGUGUGGGAUCGCGCGGUGCGACUGGCCGAACCGCGCACGACAACAGACAGGGGUCUCAUCGAGUCGUGGCGUGCUAGCGCUUCGACCACCUGCAUCCGCACAUCGAGAUGAUAACGCCGACGAUGAGACGUGGUCAAACAUGGACGGCAAAGACAUGUAUGCAUAUAUAUACACGAAAAAAAAGGUAUACAAUAAUUUAAAAAAAGG
Molecule: long non-coding RNA, 1198 nt
Filed under: Pandoravirus quercus
Description: hypothetical ncRNA
Source: RNAcentral